CAGCCCUCCUCCUCUUUAAUAGAGUUGAUCAAUAACCUGCUGUUGACCCCUGGGCGACCUCUGACCCUCCAGCAGCUGAUUGAUGAAGCUCAUUUCACUUAUUGAUCGUUUUUAUUGUUGCUGUCUGAGCGGCUGCAGAACGAAGCGAAGAUGAAUCAGCGGUUUGGAUCGGCCUCGGGGCGUCUGAGAGGAGGUUGGAGGUCACGGAGGGUCGAGAUGAAGAGAUGGAGAGCAGACGGUGGAACAUCUGAGAGGCUUCAUGAAGAGGAGAAGAUCUGUGCAGGUUUCCCAAAGACUAUGGGUUGAGGAGGAAGUGGAAGCAGCUCUGAGGAGAGAGGGGUUUGCUGCAAAUGAUGAGUGGGUGCUCUGCAGUGAUCAUUUUAAACCUGUGGGUUUGACAGGGCUGGGCAGGUUUGUCAGUUUAGACCUGGUGUCAUUCCAUCAGUGUUAAACUUCCCGGUUCAUCUUGGAAGAGUACGUGCCAGAAAGACCACGACCAAACAGCCUUGAGAUCUUAGACAACGUCUCCCUCAGGUGGGUGUCAACGGUGUUCACGGUCAGGUCUGUGGUAAUCCCAUCAGAAAACAAAACAGAAAAAAU
Amphiprion ocellaris (clown anemonefish) is the source of this 600-nucleotide long non-coding RNA. NCBI's taxonomy places the organism in Eukaryota, Metazoa, Chordata, Actinopteri, Pomacentridae. The record is from Ensembl.